RNAcentral lists this ribosomal RNA (440 nucleotides) under uncultured bacterium. RNAcentral's name for it is "partial 16S ribosomal RNA". It matches the Rfam family "Bacterial small subunit ribosomal RNA", at positions 338 to 795 of the family's 1533-position model. The record is from RNAcentral.
CCUACGGGAGGCAGCAGUGGGGAAUAUUGCACAAUGGGGGAAACCCUGAUGCAGCGACGCCGCGUGAGUGAAGAAGUAUUUCGUUAUGUAAAGCUCUAUCAGCAGGGAAGAAAAUGACGGUACCUGCGUAAGACGCACCGCCUACAUACGUGCCACCAGCCGCGGUAAUACGUAGGGGGCAGGCGUUAUCCGGAUGUACUGGGUGUAAAGGGAGCGGAGACGGCAGUGAAAGUCUGAUGUGAAAGGCGGGGGCUCAACCCCAGGACUGCUUUGGAAACUGUACGGCUGGAGUGCAGGAGAGGUAAGGGGAAUUCCUAGUGUAGCGGUGAAAUGCGUAGAUAUUAGGAGGAACACCAGUGGCGAAGGCGGCUUACUGGACUGUAACUGACGUUGAGGCUCGAAAGCGUGGGGAGCAAACAGGAUUAGAUACCCGAGUAGUC